Molecule: unclassified non-coding RNA, 37 nt
Filed under: Mesorhizobium prunaredense
Lineage: Bacteria; Pseudomonadati; Pseudomonadota; Alphaproteobacteria; Hyphomicrobiales; Phyllobacteriaceae
Description: Intron_gpI
Source: RNAcentral
AACGGAAAGAUAGCAGUGCAAAUCCUGGCAUAGCAAU